AGCAGUGUGGCUCAGUGGAAAGAGUACGGGCUUGAGAGUCAGAGAUCAUGGGUUCGAAUUCCAACUUUGCCA
This 72-nucleotide transfer RNA is filed under the name Ornithorhynchus anatinus (platypus). It matches the Rfam family "tRNA". From Rfam's summary of the family: Transfer RNA (tRNA) molecules are approximately 80 nucleotides in length. Lineage: Eukaryota; Metazoa; Chordata; Mammalia; Monotremata; Ornithorhynchidae. The record is from Rfam by way of RNAcentral.